This 71-nucleotide transfer RNA is filed under the name Ictidomys tridecemlineatus (thirteen-lined ground squirrel). Its description in RNAcentral is "Spermophilus tridecemlineatus (thirteen-lined ground squirrel) tRNA". It matches the Rfam family "tRNA". From Rfam's summary of the family: Transfer RNA (tRNA) molecules are approximately 80 nucleotides in length. Their secondary structure includes four short double-helical elements and three loops (D, anti-codon, and T loops). The record is from Rfam by way of RNAcentral. Lineage: Eukaryota; Metazoa; Chordata; Mammalia; Rodentia; Sciuridae.
GUGGUUAUGGCUCAGUGGUAGAGCGCUUGCCUCGCACAAGCAAGGCCCUGGGUUCGAUCCUCAGCACCACA